This 500-nucleotide ribosomal RNA is filed under the name uncultured dinoflagellate. Its description in RNAcentral is "bacterial SSU rRNA". It matches the Rfam family "Eukaryotic small subunit ribosomal RNA", at positions 34 to 537 of the family's 1831-position model. Lineage: Eukaryota; Dinophyceae. The record is from RNAcentral.
AGUGGGCAAAAAAAGCCUGCAUGUUCAGUUUAAGCUUCUAUACGGGCGAAACUGCGAACAGCUCAUCAAAAAGUCCUAGUCCCUUCCAGCAGCAGCAAUUCCAUGAGAUAACCGUGAGUAAUCUAGAGCUAAUACAUGCGCCCAAACCCGACUUCGCGGAAGGGUCGCGUUUAUUAGAUACAGAACCAACCCAGGCUCCGCCUGGCCUUGAGGUGAUUCAUAAUAACCGAACGAAUCGCAUGGCUAUGCCGGCGAUAGACCAUUCAAGUUUCUGACCUAUCAGCUAUCGUCGGUAGGGUAUUGGCCUACCGUGGCAAUGACGGGUAACGGAGAAUUAGGGUUCGAUUCCGGAGAGGGAGCCUGAGAAACGGCUACCACAUCUAAGGAAGGCAGCAGGCGCGCAAAUUACCCAAUCCUGACGCAGGGAGGUAGUGACAAGAAAUAACAAUACAGGGCAUACAUGUCUUGUAAUUGGAAUGAGUAAACUUUAAAUCACUUUA